AUGGCGGACGUCCUCGCCGAGCACCGCAUACAGAUGCCGGCACCGGCGGCGCGUGCCGGCAUGUCCACCGCGCCGGAGAAACUGCUGAAUCGCUUCGUGCACUUGGUCGCUCUGGUUGAAAGGUUUGGCAACGCGCUGGGCACGCUGGCGUUCACGUGGGCAACCGUCGUCCUGCUCGGCGGCUACCCGGCUGAGCUCCGCCGGAAGGAUGACUUCUGGUUUACGAUAACCAUAGUUUUCCUGGAAGCCGCCAGGAUGUUCAGCCGCAACAAUAACCUGGAUUAUCGAUUGUUCUUCCGUUCCAGAGGUUCUUUCAAGUCUCUUAGCUGGAAUGCUAUGAUCUUGGUGUUAUGUUUUUCCAAUGUCCUAGUGUGCAUUCUAAUCUGGAAUAAGUAUGCAACAAUACAAAUACCAGCUUUGCCCUUGGCAGUGCUUGCGAUUAGCCCAUCUCUGUUUCCAGGAGCUGCACGACUACUCAUAUGCAAUCUGCUAUGCCGUGCGAUGUCAUUAUGGAGCCCAGUUGUUGCAGUCCUAUUGCUUGGUCCCUCUGUACCAUAUAGCUUCGAUGAGGAUUUCAACAUUCACAAACUCAGUUUCAAAAACUCAAUCGCCAAGCUGACAAUGUACCUGAUACUAUUUGUGGUCGUGCUCCUAGCGACAAUCAGCAGGCUGCAAUUCCCAGGUAUCAUGAAACUAGUAGACUUGACUCUCGGCAGCAGAAUAAUAUAUUGGCGUCGAGUUAUUCUAAACUUGUGCAUGCUAGCUGCAGUAGCGAUGUUUGUGUUCACUUUUGAAGGGGUCGGAUGGAUUGUGAUUCUCAUAUUAAAAUUAUGUGGCCUAGUAGUAAUAGUGUCAUUCGGAAACCUCCAGAUUCCAGCAGCAGUAUUGCGCAUCGUGCUGGCAUUAGUACGCCUUAAAGCACAAAGCUACUACGGCCAUGAUGAACAUGUUGACAAGAAAAUCCUUGGGGACAAGACAAACCUCGUGCCAUCUCUCAAUAUCUUCUACGGGAUGGUGCUUGGCCAGGGAAUACUUUACAUUGUUGCCUGCAUCCUUGAUGUCUUUUCAUGCAUCCUCCUGAGAUGCCUCGCCCGUGGUGCUAGAUUCAGAGGUCCCCGGGCAGUGGAAUAUGUCAAUUUGUACUAUGCCUAUGCCUUUGAGAAAUGCAUGGAGGGCGCUGUGUUUGCCCGAAAGAAGAUCAGCCUCAUCGCAUUUGCAAUGGAUUCUUUAAAGUCAGACUCACCCAAGAUGCAGCUCUAUGGACUUCACAUGUUGCACAUUUUCCUAAAAAAUGAACCUCUCAAGACCAAAGCCAUCUCAAAACUAGCGACUUCCACGAAGACAGUAACUGUCUUAUUCAACAUGUUGGGCUGGACAAGUGAAGGGGAUGCAAAUAUUAGAUCAUUUGCCGCGAAGGUCAUAGCUGAGCUUGCUGGUAGCCUCCGAGUUGUCUCUGUCCCUGGGGCAAUGCAGCUCAUAGCCUCACUUCUUGAUACUGUUCACCAGCAGAAAAUAAAGGAUCCUCUCCUAGACAUUGGUAGCCUAGAGGCAGAACAAGAUACCCUGAUUCAGCAAGUUGCCAUGGACGAACAGAGGACACCCAUGCUUAAAUGGUUGAAACAGAUGGCAGUAUAUUGUUUGGUUCCAAGGGAGGAGCCAUCUAACAUGGAUGGACAAAACUCAUGUACACUCAGAUGCUGGAAGCAGAUUACCAAAUGCUGGCAUAUUCCAGAGGAGGAGCCAUCAACGGACCAGGAUCUGCUCCCUGUACUGGGCAUGUUAAUUCUUGACACUCUUGCUAGCUUUGAUAUUGAGAACUGUAUAGAAAUCAACAGAUCAACAGGCCUCAUUUCAAAGAUCAUAGAUUUCACAAGCAACAGAACUGACAUGACCAAUAUUAGUGAGAUAGACCAGGCAUUGCUGAAAGGUUCAUCGUUGAAACUGCUGAGAAGACUUGCAAGUACUCAAGGGAAGUUUGGGGUAACUUUGCGACAGGAGAUUUCAGAACAUCCCUUCCUUUUGAGCAACCUUGCAGCGAUCUUGGAAGACAGUGGGAGCAGCCAAGAACUUAGGGAGCUAACAACAGAAAUCCUUAGAAACAUUUCCAUGGAUGCAAACACAAGGGACGAGAUCGGGAAGAUUCGGGUGAUCAUUAGCAGGUUGAUGCAUGCAUUUCUUAACCGAGAAGCAGCCUCAAGUACAUAUUCAGAUAAGUUACGAAAGUCCGCCGGGCAAGCCCUGGCAGUGCUAGCAAUGGACAGUGUGAAUAACUGUUUGGUUAUGUUAGCCGAACCAGGGUAUGUAUUCAUCAAGGAGCUCGCAUUUAUGAUCCAUGGGGACAUGUACAGGUACGUAGCAGCAAGCUUGUUGCGGAGUAUGUGCAUGCAUGCUCAACCUAAGUUCAACAACUCUGAACUGAAGGAGUUCUCUCACAUCUUGCGAGAGGUCUUGGAAGGAAUAAUGGAUGCAGAAGGGGCGGAACUAGAGGUCCUUGCUGGCCUUAGUUCACAAAUAUGCCAUGCCAUUCCUGGAGACUUUGAGCGUGAACUUGAGCAUGGUCAGAUUAAAGAAAGAUUUAUAAACAGACUUGUCUGUGCACUUAACUCAAAUAUGACACCUACUGCUCAUUGUCCGGGAAUCAGGAGGGUGAUAGUUGAACAUGCCAUACACAUAAUGGAGUGCAAUCCUAGCUACACUGACUGUUUUAAUAAAUGCUGGAUGAUGGAAGCACUGCUGCGGGUAGAACAUACACCUUCAAGGGCUGAAAAGUACAGGUUCUUCUUGGGCGAUGCAGGACUGAUGGAGCACAGUGUGCCUCUCUCUGCUCUUGUGGCAAGAGCAAAAGAACUGAUGGGCCGUGAGUGGCGACAAGGCAUCAGCAGUGUCACUGUCACCUAA
This 2898-nucleotide ribosomal RNA is filed under the name Triticum aestivum (bread wheat). RNAcentral describes it as "partial small subunit ribosomal RNA". The record is from RNAcentral. Lineage: Eukaryota; Viridiplantae; Streptophyta; Magnoliopsida; Poales; Poaceae.